AGGUAAUGCCUACUAUACCUCUAUCAAUGUAGGUACUCGGUCAUACUGUGGGUCCCCGGACCUUAGAUGUGAAUCAUCAAGGGUGUGGAGUGAGGAUGGGUUGAAUGCCCA
This is a regulatory RNA element of Paenibacillus antarcticus, 111 nucleotides long. It matches the Rfam family "epsC RNA". Lineage: Bacteria; Bacillati; Bacillota; Bacilli; Caryophanales; Paenibacillaceae. The record is from Rfam.